RNAcentral lists this ribosomal RNA (331 nucleotides) under Metaphire houlleti. RNAcentral describes it as "partial large subunit ribosomal RNA". It matches the Rfam family "Eukaryotic large subunit ribosomal RNA", at positions 42 to 365 of the family's 3401-position model. Lineage: Eukaryota; Metazoa; Annelida; Clitellata; Crassiclitellata; Megascolecidae. The record is from RNAcentral.
AUUAAUAAGCGGAGGAAAAGAAACUAACGAGGAUUCCCUCAGUAACGGCGAGUGAAGCGGGAUCUAGCCCAGCACCGAAUCCCCCGGCGGAGACGCCGGCGGGAACUGUGGUGUUCGGGACGACCCACGCCCGUCGGUCGGACGCCCGAGUCCUCCUGAUAGGGGCUUCUCCCAGAGCGGGUGUAAGGCCUCUACGGCGUCCGGUCGGCGAGCCCGGGGAGUCCUAGGAGUCGGGUUGUUUGAGAUUGCAGCCCAAAGCGGGUGGUAAACUCCAUCUAAGGCUGAAUACGGGCACGAGUCCGAUAGCGAACAAGUACCGUGAGGGAAAGUU